UACGUAGGGUGCAAGCGUUGUCCGGAAUUAUUGGGCGUAAAGAGCUCGUAGGCGGUUUGUCGCGUCUGCUGUGAAAACUCGGGGCUCAACUCCGAGCUUGCAGUGGGUACGGGCAGACUAGAGUGCGGUAGGGGAGACUGGAAUUCCUGGUGUAGCGGUGGAAUGCGCAGAUAUCAGGAGGAACACCGAUGGCGAAGGCAGGUCUCUGGGCAUUAACUGACGCUGAGGAGCGAAAGCAUGGGGAGCGAACAGG
RNAcentral lists this ribosomal RNA (253 nucleotides) under uncultured bacterium. RNAcentral describes it as "partial 16S ribosomal RNA". It matches the Rfam family "Bacterial small subunit ribosomal RNA", at positions 524 to 776 of the family's 1533-position model. The record is from RNAcentral.